RNAcentral lists this long non-coding RNA (23252 nucleotides) under Gossypium barbadense (sea-island cotton). RNAcentral's name for it is "long non-coding RNA (GBAR_LNC023172)". Lineage: Eukaryota; Viridiplantae; Streptophyta; Magnoliopsida; Malvales; Malvaceae. The record is from RNAcentral.
UUGUGAGUGUUUUCAGUUAUUAGUGAAAGUUGUCUUAACAAAAAAAAAGAUACCAGGGUUUUUCAUGUCAAGUAGGAGUUAGAAAGAAUGCAAUUGGCUUCAUAAUUGUUAAUGGAAAGAGGUUAUCACUUCCAAGAGAAGUUAAGUGGACCACGUUUAAAAUUUUAGAUAAUUUUGAUGAUGAAAAUUGGUGAAGGCCACUCAUUGAUAUAUUAGAGUUUAAGUAGCUUUCAGGAAUGCUAGCUGAAACUUUGGAAGAUCAAUUCCAAAUUGAACAAAUGAAAAUGUUGUUGGCAUUAGCAAAAUCAGGAAUAUGUCCGCAACUAAAAUUAGAGACCUAACGUACAAAGCUUGAUUAGGUGAGCUGAAUCAGAUAGAGAUAUUGUAUGUAACAAAGCUUGAUUAGGUGGUUUGAAUCCGGUAAAGAUAUUGUAUGUAACUGUAUUGAAGCUGUCGAGGGUGUGUGGAUUAGCAGCUGUGUAUCAUGUGUGUAUCAUGUCUGGGAGUAUGAUGUUCACAAGCUCAUGCAACUAGAGGAACCGAUUGAUAUUUUCCUUUCGCACGAUUGGUUGCUCGGCAUCACUGAUUAUGGGAACUGGCAACAACUUGUUUGCUACAAAAACAUUUCAAAGAUGAGGUAAUUAUAAUCGAUUGGUGGAAAUGCAUAUACGUGAAAGAAUGAAAAUCUUCAUAUCGAGCAAUGAGCAGUUUAAUAUCUUAUUCUCUCCUGUUUUUCCCUUAUUUCUAAUGUCUUUCUCCUUUCUUAACUACUGUUUUUUCCUUCUCUUCUGUUUUCUUUCUCCCAGCCUCCUUUCUUGUCCUUUCUUUCUUCACACACACAAAUACGGUACACUAGAGUGAAACCCUAAGUUUUGCUUGCUGUUUCUGUUAUUUGUGAUUUUUAAAAUCCCCUAAUUCAUUGGAGAUUGAUUUCAGGGAUGAAUAUGUAUUUAACUUGGUUUCUUUCCUUUUCAUCUCUGUUUUUAGUUUCAAAUAUAUGCUUUUCUCUACUAAUAUUUUCAGUUGACUUUUGCCAGGGUUUCCGGUUUUCUGAUUCAAAGAGUCACUGUUACGUUCCGUUGAAAUUAUGGAUCUUGGUGUGGUACUUUUGUUUGUUUAUCUUGUACUAUAUGUUCUUUAUUUUUUGUUUUGUUUGUUUCCGUCUACUUACGAUUGUAGCUAUCGUGAUAUCUUCUAUUUCCUUUUAUUUUUUGCUUCGCAAAAUACUGUUUCGGUUUCUCUUUUUGGGCUUCUGUUUUGGUGUUUGGGCCUGUGCCCUGCUUAGUUUAUGGCCUUGUGUUCUGCCUAGUCUUUGGGCUUUUAUCCCGCUUGGAAGUUCUAGGGAAUGAUUGAGGAAUCAAUAACCUUCUCAAUUUGUCUCUCCUUUCUCAAACAUGUUAUGCAUCUUCUCUUCUGUAAUGUGCUACAUCUCUGCUCUUAACAACGACCCUUUUCGUGCUUCAUUUCAUCUUUCUGACACAUGUAUUUAGCAGCUUUUCGGUAUCUUCAUUUUUCUUUUUUUCUCCCUUUUUUAGUGAAGAGAUAAAUGACUUUCUAGUAAAAGAUAUUUUAUUGGUAACAAAAGAAAUAUGGCCUUAAUUGUUCUUUUCUUCAAAUGUUAUUAUUGAUGAUAAAUGAUGGUUUGAAUUAUUUUAGCAUCUUAGUAUUCACUGUAUACAUUUUUUGUCUUAUCCAUUUUAUAAGUUAAAACAUAUAAUCAAUAUUUUGGUCUCUGCACAGUAUUUCAUUGAUUAUUUUUAGAUGAAAUUUGGAGAUGCUAGAACAUAACUUAAGCUCUUUGGUAUAUUUUACAAAUAUUUUUAUAGAAUUGUGAUUAAUUCCAUAUGGACCUGGAUGAGAAGGUCAUCAACAGUUUGUUAUCGUACUAAGUCAUGGACUCUUCUGAAACUACUUUAUUUGGAACUAUCAAGUGAAUCUUAUCUUUUUUCAUUUGUUCAUAUUUUUGUAACUUUCUUUUUCAUUUUAAUCUGUUGCUUACAAUUUUGUAGCAAUUGGAAAGUUUCCUUGAGUUUGAAUAAUCUUUGAUAGACUUUUGUGUCAGUUUUGAGUUAGGGUUUUUAAUUUUUUCUAGUCAAUUUGGUUGGAUUGGAUUUGGUUGAUCUCCAAAUAUGGAUCAAUGUUUUCUCAUGUUAAUUUGCUAUGAAAUAGCCUUUAGUUUUGUGUUAGGCUCGAGGUUAGGACCUUUCAUUUCUCUGUAGCUUCUAGUCAGGCUGGCUUGGGCUUUUGAGAUGUUGAGCAGUUAAAUAGGUGACAAUCAAAGAUAAUGUGUUGCCCUUUCUGUUAACACUAGCUGAUAUCUGAUAUUUGAUCAACAUUAAGUGAAACGUGAUAACAAAAUAACAAAUGUUUUAAUUAGAAAAGCAUGAAAAUCUUCAGCUAUGAUUAUAGUGUUUGUUUGCAAAACUAUAAUCUGAGGUUGAAAGUUUUAGCUUUUUAACCUCUUAGUUUGAUUUCUAUUUGCAAAUGUUAAUUUAUGUUAUUGUUUUCUAUGAAUCAUGCAUUCACCUCGUCAGUUGCAUGCGAGAAUGAGCUAGUUUUAUUUAUCUGUUUGGGGGCAGGUUCACACGAAUAUAUUCUUGCUGUUUCUUUAGGUUAAUAUGUUAAUUCUUUUCUGCUAGGUUUAAGUUUAUUUGACAUUCAUUUGCGCUAACAUUAUGUUUGUUUGCCUUGUUUUUGUUUGUAGGUCUUAGCUUUUAGGGACAUAGCUCCCCAGGCUCCUACGCACGUUUUAAUUAUUCCAAAAUCAAAGGAUGGCCUAAGCGUAAUUGGAUUUCUCCAGUGGCUCUUUUUUCUAUAUUUUUUGAGAUGGCCCUGCUACGUCUGAGCAGUAAACAUUUAUGCCCUCUAUCAUAGAGGAAACUACAAUUAUGGCUGGGUAUUAAUUUGGAAAAAAAGUAUGGAGUAUUGUUAAAAGAAUGCUGCUAAAGUUUUGUCAAUUUGAUUUGCCUUUUGCGUUUUGCUCACUCUUGAUGCUGUAUGAGGAAAAGAAAGUGAAGGAAAAUAGGAGUGAAAUUAAAUGGAAAUUGUAUCGAGAAAUUCUGGUGGUAAAGACUAAGAGAGUCUUAGUGGUUAUAAGAAGGUGGGGAACUGAAAGAACAUCAAUGCUGAGGAAAACCUUAAAACUUGAUAUGCAAGUAUUGAUAGGUAUAGGCCAUAAAUUGAGCUUCUAAAUGUAUCUGUACAAUGAAAAACCCUAAUAAAACCUUAAAGCAAUAUCCAUUAUUCAUCCUUGUUGGAAGAAAUUGUCUUUAGAGUUAAAUUGCAUAUACCCCUCCUUCCUUUAGUCAAAAAAUAUGACCUUCCCAAUGAACAGAAAGUAUGUCACCGAGUCUAGAAUUAAAAAGCUCAUCACCAAGUUAUUUCAAUCCAUCAACUUAUUGCAAUCACUAAAACACAUGUAAGGUGUGUAAUGAAACAAAAUAAGGUUCAAAGAUGUCUGAUGAAAUAAUUUAGUGUUAGAAUUUGCAUUUCGUGUAUCCAAGGCUUGUGCAUUUGUUUUCUAUGUCAUAAUCAUGUUUAAGGUGUCGUGUAUUUAUUAUAAGUUUUGACAUUAUAAAGUGAUUGGUGUUAUAUUGAUUCUGAUAUGUUUCUGUGCUUGUGUAAUAUUGUAUUUUAGCUAUUUUUCUUGUGUCAUGUACAAUAUUACCAGGUCUGUUUAGUAACAAUAUUUUCUCUAAAGGUCUCUUUUUAGGACGUCGGCCAUUCAUAUUAACCCAAAGUAUCUCUCUCUACAAUCUCAAGUGAAUUUUCUACAAUCUCUCUUAAUCAAUUGAAAGAAUGGCAUAAAGAAAUGCAAAACCUGUGAUAACCCAACAUGUCAAUCUUCUGUGUGCCAAACUCAUAUGUUGCAUCAUCUUGUCCUCUAUUUCUCUUCUUUCUUAUCUUUCAAUGGUGAAGUGAUGCAUUGGUGUGUUAUACAGCUCUAUUAUAGGGUUGAAUUAUUUACUUGCUCCAUCUUUGUAACCUUAGGCUGCUAAAAAGGUUCUCCAAAUAACAUGUUGCACCUAGUUGGACCUUAGAAGACAAACUAGCUCUUCUAUUAAGCUCCAUGUAAUUAGUUAUUUGAUUUGUUGAAGCUAUUGGUUAAUUUAGAUAAUUUGAUUAUGCACUUCCUCAAUUUACAUAUACCCUUGAUUAUCUCUUUCAAAAAUGCCUUUUUUAAUGCAUUCAGAUCUUGCAUAUGCAGUUUGAUUUGUUUAGCCUCUGUUACUGAGAUUGUCCAUUUAAAAAUUUUUGAUGAUAAACUUCCCUUUGCCUUUGGUGGCCAUAUUUUCAGCACUAUUGAAUUUAGUCUUUUGGUCUAUGUCUGGAUCUUUAGGCACUAGAUUUGAAGCCAAACUACGUGCGUGCUUGGGCAAACAUGGGUAUCAGUUACGCCUACCAGGUUUGUUAUAUCCUGCACUGUUCUUUGAUUGUCUUGACAUUUAUGAAAAGGGAACUGCAUUUCUUACUUUAUGUCUUCAUUUCCUUUUGCACAUUUCUGAGAUGGUCAAUCCUUCUAAAUGAAAAUUUAUGGUUAUGUGAUCCGGAAUUAAAUCACCUUGUGUUCUGUAUAAUUUGUCAAGAGAAUAUGAUAAGGCCAUUGCAUAUUUCAAAACUGCUUUGAAACUUAAACCUAAUGAUUAUUCUCUUUGGAAUAAGAUUGGUGCAACACAAGCCAACAGUGUUCAGAGUGCUGAUGCAAUAUUAGCUUAUCAACAGGUAGCCUCUUCAUGAUCCCCCCCCCCCCCGGUUGAAUAGUGGUGGCCUAUCUGUAUACCACAUGAUAUGUUAAUUUCAUAACUUCUUUUUUUUAUAAUUAAAAAUUUAUUUUCACUACCCUAAAAUUUUGGUGUUCUCUUUACUAAGUUGGAGUACCUGUAAUGUGUUAAAUUCAAAAUAUAUGGGUGCUAGGAUUUUACUAAGGGUUAAUUUGAAUGGUGUGUUGUUUAAUAUUUUGCAUGUUAGGCCAGAAUAAAAAAUUGAAUUAUGAAGGUGUUGACAAUGUAGGCAAGGGUGCUGUAACUACCUGAACCAUUUGAGGUGCAAGAUGUAAAAAAAGCACUUUAUUGAGUAAAUUAAGGCGAAUGUGUAAAUUUUUGCUUCUUGUAUCAAGGGGCCUUUUUUGCUUUUAUACAAAAAAUUGUGCCUAGGACUUGGCUUGUGCUUAAUCAAUUGAAAGGAUGGCAUAAAGAAAUACAAAAUAUCUGAUAACCCAACAUAUCAAUCUUCUGUGUGCGAAACUCAUAUGGGUUGUAUCAUCUUUUCCUCUAUUUCUCUUCUUUCUUAUCUUUCAAUGGUAAAGUGAUGCAUUGGUGUGUUAUAAAGGUCUCUUAUAGGGUUGAAUUAUUUACUUGCUCCAUCUUUGUAACCUUAGGCUGCUAAAAAGAUUCUCCAAAUAAGAUGUUGCACCUAGUUGGACCCUAGAAGACAAAGUAGCUCUUCUAUUAAGCUCCAUGUAAUUAGUUAUUUGAUUUGUUGAAGCUAUUAGUUAAUUUAGAUGAUUUGAUAUGCACUUCCUCAACUUACAUAUAUCCUUGAUCUUCUCUUACAAAAUGCCUUUUUUAAUGCAUCCAGAUCUUGCAUAUGCAGUUCGAUUUGUUGCCUGUUGUGGCCAUAUUUUCAGCACUAUUGAAUUUAGUCUUUUGGUCUAUGUCUGGAUCUUUAGGCACUAGAUUUGAAGCCAAACUAUGUGCGUGCUUGGGCAAACAUGGGUAUCAGUUACACCAAACAGGUUUGUUAAAUCCUGCACUGUUCUCUCAUUGUCUUGGCAUUCAUGAAAAGGGAACUGCAUUUCUUACUUUUUUAUCUUCAUUUCCUUUUGCAUAUUUCUGAGAUGCUCAAUCCUUCUAAAUGAAAAUUUACUAGCAUACUCAGGUUCCACAAAUUUACUAUGCCACACUAAAAGGGGUUCAGGAAAUCUAUAAUUGUUAAAAGUAUUGUUGUGAAUCACUAAAAUUUUCCCAUUGAGGAAAAAAAGAAGAAGAAGGAUUCGGAUAUCAUCCGUCUAAAUAUUCCUUUUCUUAAUUGAGGGGAACUGCAUUCCUUACUUUAUUAUCUUCAUUUCCUUUUGCAUAUUUCUGAGAUGCUCAAUCCUUCUAAAUGAAAAUUUACUAGCAUACUCAGGUUCCACAAAUUUACUAUGCCACAAAUUUACUAUGCCACACUAAAAGGGGUUCAGGAAAUCUAUAAUUGUUAAAAGUAUUGUUGUGAAUCACUAAAAUUUUCCCAUUGAGGAAAAAAAGGAGGAUUCGGAUAUCAUCCGUCUAAAUAUUCCAUUUCUUAAUUGAGGGGAACUGUGUGUGUUACUUUAUUAUCUUCAUUUCCUUUUGCAUAUUUCUGAGAUGCUCAAUCCUUCUAAAUGAAAAUUUACUAGCAUACUCAGGUUCCACAAAUUUACUAUGCCACACUAAAAGGGGUUCAGGAUAUCUAUAAUUGUUAAUCUGAUUGAGCAUGUAAACAAAUUUGCUUCCAGGGUAUGUAUGAGGAGUCGAUCCGAUAUUAUGUUCGAGCACUGGCAAUGAAUCCCAAGGCUGAUAAUGCAUGGCAAUAUCUAAGAACAUCUUUAAGGUAUCAUCCUGAAGUAGAGAAUGUCUUCUAAUCAUGCGAAUUAGUUCCACUUACAUAUCUCCAUUUUUCAUUUUCAUUCUUGCAGCUGUGUUUCGCGGAAUAAUAUGGUGGAAGCUUGUGAUUCCAGGAAUCUAGAGCUUUUACAGGAGUUUCCUCUAUGAAUAGAAUAUGAUUUCGAAUUUUUAAGUAGGAUGGGUAUCAUGACUAGCUGAAACAGGGGCAAAAUGUUACUGUCAAAAAUCAAUUCAAAAAGCUGUAAAUGCUGAUGUACCCGAUAGGUUGCAGCUAGGGCCAUGCUGGUAGAUGUUAUCUGGGGGGAACAAAUAAUGUUUUGUAUAUUUUAUUUAUGUCUCAACACCAUGAAGUAUGUAAUUUUGUUAAACGGGGCAUGGGAUGGUUGAUAGCGAAAGAUAAUGUUUGUUAGGUUAUAUGAAAACAGGAAAAGCAAUUACGGACUAGUGAUUUGCUGCAAUAAGCUACUUCGUCUUUCACUUAAACGUAAUUGCUGAUUGUUGAAAAUGGUACGGAGCGACGAACAACUGGUCUGCCCAGUGCAAUUUGCAUAAUCUUUGACUUGAUUCAGCAUCUUCACAUCCACCCUACUUGGGUUGGGGAAUUAAAAACUGCAUAACCAAAAUCACAGAAAUACUGUCUGCUGCCGUAUCAGUUACGGACGCAUUGUAGUUUAUUUUUUAGUCUUUUGGAUUGAAAAUAUUUGGAGAAAAUCCAAGCAAAAUCAAAGUGUUCCGUAUGAGGUAAUCAUUCAAAAAAUCAAGAUGUGUUCAGUGAUUAAACCACCUUGUUUUCAAUAUAUAGUUCUCAACAAAUUUGGAAAAAGAAUUCGUUCGAAAUAACACUAAUCUCGAUGGAGAGAUGACAGCUUAUUUGAUUGGACAGUAAUAAAAUUUUAUGGUCUAAAAUGAAUUUGUACAAUAGUGAAAUGUUCAAAUAUUAAAAGUUCAGAAUAUAAGAAGGACCAGAUUCGCAUGACAAGGGAACUGCUCCUACUUUUACAUCUAGAACUACUGCUCUGGCGAUGGAAACGUCUGUUGCUGGGAAUGCAUCACUUGAAGGUUGCUGUUUGGAUUCUAUGCUCCACCACCACACCAGCAUCGUCGUCGUCGCCGCCGCCGUCACCUAGGGUUUCAAGUCCUUCAACUUUCCCCUUUCUCGGUUUCGUUCUACAAAUUUCCGAGCUGGAUUAUCUCUCUUUCUUCUGGCGAAUCUCAAUGCGCCGCUGGUUCAGCGGCUUUGUUUAUCAUAUUUCUUUCCUUUCCCAUCUCUCUAAUAUGUGUAUCAGUUUCUGUUGUUGAUCAGUUUGGAGCAAAAAAAAAAAAAGGCUAGGUUUUGGUGAGAUUAGUUUCUAUUAAUUAAAAUUUUGAAUCUGAGGGUUUUUGUAUUUGUAUUUUUUUUUUGUUUCGUGGGAUUUGAAUGGCAUUGGGCGAUCUGAUGACGUCACGAUUUUCGCAAUUGUCGUUGGCGGUAUCGAAUCAUGUCAUCGACGGUAACGUCAGCAGUGGCGGCUAUCAUGACGACGAUGUUGCUUCUGCUGACUUGAUGUCUCAGAGGAGGGAUUUAGAUGCUGCAUCAACUAGCAGUUACGCCAAUGCCGUUACUUGCACGGCCACUGUGCCUACGACCAUGGCUUACUUGCCGCAAACUGUUGUUUUAUGCGAGCUUCGGCAUGCUGCCUUUGAAGCUUCCACGCCAACUGGACCCUCUGAAAGUGGCCUUGCUUCCAAAUGGCGCCCCAAGGACAAAGUCCUUUCCUUUCUAGGUUGUUUUCUUCUAUUUUUUGCUUACCAUUCGUUUGACUGAUUAUAUCUAAUAAUGGGUUUAAGAAAAAAAAAUAUUUACAUUGCAGUAGGAAAAGAUGGGAUUGUGCAAAUAAUUAGAAUUUCCUAUUGAUAUUCGGAAGUAAGAAAAUUUGACUUCGUUUAGAGGUUAUUAGAAAUGUUGCUAAAAUUGGUUCAUAUCUAUGCCAUUUUGGGUCUAGAACUAAAAUUUUAAUAGGGCUUUAGUACAUUGGAUAGAAGGGAGGGGGAUUCUUAGAUGUGCUAGCAUAAUAUUAUGAAAUUAGUACUGUCGAUUAAGUUUGAAAUCCAUGAAUUUGAUGUGGUCACCUAGCAAUGGAAGACAUGAAGACAUUGUACUCCUCCAGAUCAAAGCAUUAGAGUCUGGAAGAUUUUAAUACUUUGUACAUUAAGUAAACUGCUGUUGUUUUUACCAUCCCAGUAUGUCAUUUGCCUUGUGAUGAACUACUGACUAAGGAAUAUAUUUUGAAUGGUUGGUUGUUUAAAAAGGAUUAAAAGAGUUGAGUUUCUACUGUGAAGGCUCUACUGCGCAAAUACAUAAAACAUCCAGGAACAUCGGACAAGGCAUGGCACCCUUUUUCAGGCAUGAACUUAUUUCUUUUUCAAUACGCAAUUUUCAGACAUGGCCAUUGGUUUCAAAAUGGUAGCUAGAUCUAGAUCUAUGGUACAUGCCCACUGCCGAGAGUUUAUUUGGUAGUUUUUCUGGAUAACGUGUCUUUUUAAUUCGUUGUGAGUUGUGACAUUCUGUUUCUUAGUUUUCUCAAAAAGUCUGUACUUUAGUUUUAAAAAUAAUAAUAAUAAUAAUCUAAUUGGGAUGGUUGUUGAUAUUGAUAAGAAUUGGAGAAUUUCAACCGACUUGCUAAUUGCAAAGGUUUUUGUCGAUUUGGGUUUCUUGAUCAUAUACUGUGGAGAUUGUCAUGAUUCGUGUAUGCAUGUAUGUUUUCUUUUUCAUACUGCUAGGUGCUUUUUUCUUUAAAAUAGUUGGGAUUGUCUGAGUUCUGUUGGGUAUGAUUUGCGAAUGGAUUUUGAUUGGAAGUUUUAGGUAGACCCCUGGUAUCUGUAUAUUAGCUGAAUAGGUUCGUUUAAGUGAAUAGGCUACUCCGGGUAUAUCCCACUUCUAUGCUAUCUCCAUUCACAAAUAUUAGUGCCUGGUUGAUAGUUUUAGUGUCCGGUUCAGCUUUUUUUCUUAUUUGGACUGGACUACUUGUUGUACUUAUUCAUGGCAGGUAUAUCCCAUUCUAGGGAUAUCCUAAGGUUGGAUAUCCCGGUUUGUCACUAUCCCGGUUUGGGGUUUUUAAAAAAUUUAUAUAUAAAAAAUAAUAUAAAAAAUUUAAUAUGCAUGGGCUGAGUUUUUUCAAAAUUUUAGAUUAUUUUUUGGGUUGAGCCUGUAUCAACCUUACCUUUCAAACCUACCCAAUAAAAACUCCCCCAUGAUUAUUAAUGCAUUAAAUUCUGUAGUAUAUUCAUUCAAACUAGGCUAGCUAUUUGAGUAUCUUAUUUAUCUUACGGAGGGAGAUCAAAGGCGCUGAAGAAUAUCUCCACAAACCGGACUACCUGUCACUCUUAUUCCAGGGAGGGAUAUCCCAUUCCAGAGAUAUCUCGGUUUUGGAAUAUCCAAGAGAGGGAUAUCCUGGCUUGGUUAUAUCCCAUUUGAAGGAUAUCCAGACGUUGGUUUAGGGUUUUCUUAAAGUAUUGGGUUAUUAUUAAUAUGCAAAAACACAUAAAACCAUCAGGACUUAAGCAAAACAAAAGCUUGGAAAAAUAGGCUUAAUUUUAUCUGGGUCUAAGUACAUCAUGAUUGUAAUAUUUAAGAAAAUGUUGUAUCUUCAAUUCAUAAAAAUUGAAUAUAACUUUUCUAAAGGCCAAAUCUUGUUAUGCUCUUUUCCAGAUAGAAGAACAGCAGAGGGGUUUCCUUAACAAUUUUUUUGAUUAAUAAAUAUAUUAUUUAUUUAUUUAUAAAUUUUAUAUUAUAUAAAAAAUAGAUUUCAAAUCUGAAAGGUUAAGUUUACCUUAAGGAAAAUAUCAUCUAUUUAUCAAGUCUAAUUUAAUAUGCAAAUAACUCUAAUCAUCAAUCAAAUAAUAUAAUUCAAUUUAAAAUUUAUAAAUAGUAAAUUUAAGUCACUUGUUUUUAAAUAGACAGUUAUAUCCAUUUCUCUUUAUAGUACAAAAUUUUAGGUUAUAUUCUCUUUGAAUAUGUGUUGAACAUGGCUUUAGGGAAAUGAAGGGGCUGAGUAAGAAAACAUAGCAUGUCAUUUUAUGAAUGCUAAUGAUGAUAACAUUCAUGUAAACGGAACGAUGACUAGGAACUGUAGAGAGGUUUAUUGACAGCCCAACUAUUUGGUUUUUCCAUGUAGAAAAAACUUAAAUUGCAGUUGCAUUUUACCUGUGCUGUCUGUUCCCCAAUAAUGAACUGGUCCUGCUGAAAACAGGAAAUUCUGGAGGCGCCCGAGAAAGCUGAGUCUCAUAUUUGGACAUUUUGGACACUCGAAGAAGCACAAGCUUAUUGGAAGCAAGAAUUUGGACAUUUAAAUGGUCGAGAAUCGAAAUAAUCGAAAUAGACUUUAAUUAAGCUGCAUGUUGCAGACUUUCAGCUGAGUUUUCUUGUUUUUUUCCCCUUAAAGUUCCAGUUGUUACCUUUUAACUAUUACAAUAAAUCAAUAAAUCAGUGCAACAGAGAGUAGAGGUUCUUUUGUUUGUGUUAAGAGCUGUCUAUAUAAAGGGCUGUGUUUUUUAUUUUUGUUUAAUUUGUUUUCAUUAGCGGUCUUGCUAAGGGUAAUAGAUGAGAAUUUUUUGGAAUUUUGAGGGAUGCUGAUUGUAUUUAAGAGGAUGGAUUCUAAGGAGUGAACGUGGAAGUGGCCUUAUACCUUGAAAUUAUUAGGUUCAUUAAUUGGUCAGUCAGCUGGUCAAAUGUUUUCAGGGAAAUGAGAUAGCAGAUGUAUUAGGUAAGGUUGGCAUUUGAAGGGAAGUAUUUUCAUGGCUUGAUGGUGAUAUUUGUUCUUUUUUAUUUAGUUCUCUGUGCGAUCAUUGGUAUUUCCAAGUCCUGGCGCUGUCUGUUCUUACUUGGUGUUUGAGUUUUGGUUGACUUGUGCUACUGAUGUUUUAAUUCUACAUAUUGGUUCUGAAAUGUCUUUGUCCUUUGUUUUCUUUUGUGAGUGUUGUCAGUUAUUGGUGAAAGUUGUCUUAACAAAAAAAGAAGAUACCAGGGCUUUUCAUGUUCAAGUAAGAGUUAGAAAGAAUGCAACUGGCUCGAGAAAGUGACCUUUACAAACUACAAAUAUAAUGGGUAUCUCCAUUGACAAUGGUGAUGCUCUUUUCCUAUUUAUAUACAUAUAUAUAUUAACGAAUGCGGGUCUUCCUGGCAUUCUAGGUGAUAGUUUAUUCUUAAUGGAACUUUGGGUAUGUGGUAAAUAUUUUCGUUUUGGGGAGUAAAUUUUGGUGCAGAAAUUGCAUAUUAGUCCAACAUCAUCUGUGUCUUCAAUUGAAUGUGUUUUCCGUCUUUUAAAGAUAUUGCUUAUUGAUUCCUCGAUGAAGAUACCUUUCAAUCGCUGCAUUAGAGAUGGAGAUUUUUUUAUUGUAUAUGAGAGGCAUGAUACCAUGAAAGCUGUUAAAGUGUGAGAGAAUUCGGUUCUUCAAAUUCGUUUCGGUGUAUUUAAACAUUCAGAUUGGAUCGGGAAGCCAUUUGGUUCCAUAAUUUUCAGCAACAGAGGUGGGUUUGUUUACCUAUUGGCUUCGAUACCGGAGUUAUGGACUUUGGUUCUAAGUCAUAGGACUCAGAUUCUUUAUAUUGCGGAUAUUAGCUUUGUGAUUAUGUACUUGGAAGCAGUUCCGGGUUGUUUGGUUCUUGAAUCCGGGACUGGUAGUGGCUCAUUAACAACAUCGUUUGCAAGGGCUGUGACGCCAACAGGACAUGUGUAUACCUUUGAUUUCCAUUAACAGAUGGCUGCCUCAGCUAGGUAAGCCUUAGUGUUUAUUGUUUGCAAAAGUGCAUUGUGAUGAAAUAUGAUAUAGUAAUUCCUUAGGUUAAACUUGAAUACUGGGUUAUCUUUAGUUGACGUCUUCAUAGAUCUACAUUUUGUUGCUGUGAUACUUCAUUGUCUCUAAUUGUCUCGGUUUACAGAUCUUUAUUAGUUUCAUUAGUGAGUGCAUUGUUACGAAAUUUUGGUUUCAAAGAUUGUUAUGAAAUAUGAUUUUAGAAACUGCUUAGGUUGAGCUUGAAUUCUAGGUAGAUUUAAGAAGUCUGUUCAGGUGGAUGUAUUCUUUGAAAUACGACAUUCUGUUGCUGUCAUGCUUCGUAGUCUCAAAAUUAUCUCGGUUUUGUGGAACCUUGCGUAGGACUCAUUUAUGAUGCAUAUUUUGUCCCAUUAUAUGGUUUCCGUUUGUCUAAAUGAUAAUAGAAAGAUCCAAGGAUGGUUGUUUAUUUUUCUUUGAUUCUUCUGUGUUGGUUCGUGAAAGAAGGGAUGUUUUAUAAUUUUUCACUCCUUCAACAGAGAAGACUUCGAGAGGACUGGAAUAAGCACUUUAGUUACCAUGGGAGUCCGAGAUAUUCAGGGUGAGGUAUUUCCCGAUCAGUUUUAUGGGUUGGCUGACUCCAUAUUUCUGGACCUACUGGAACCUUGGCUAGCCAUUCCUUCAGCUUGAAACAUGUUGAAACAAGAUGGAACUCUGUGUUCCUUCUCACUGUGCAUCGAACAAGUGCAACGUUCAUGUGAAACUCUUAGAUCUGAGGUUACAGGUAACAUAUUAGAAUUAAGUUAUCCUAACUUUUUCAAGCAGUUUUUCUUUUAAAGCAGUUUCAAAACUGCUUUGAAACUUAAACCUAAUGAUUAUUCUCUUUGGAACAAGCCGUGCAACACAAGCCAACUGUGUGCAGAGUGCUGAUGCAAUAUUAGCUUAUCAACAGGUAGCCUCUUCAUGAUUCCCCCUUGAAUAGUGGUGGCCUAUCUGUAUACCACCUGAUAUGUUAAUUUCAUAAUUACUUUUUUUAUAAUUAAAUAUUAAUUUUCCCUAUCCUAAAAUUUUGGGGUUCUCUUUAGUAGGUUGGAGCACCUGUAAUGUGUGAAAUUCAAAAUAUAUGAGUACUAGGAUUUUACUAAGAACCAAUUUGUAUGGUGUGUUGGUCACUAUUUUGCAUGUUAGGCUAGAAUAAAAAAAAAAAUGAAUUAUGGUGUUGACAAUGUCGGCAAGGGUGCUCUAACUACCUGAACCAUUUGAGGUGCAAGAUGUAAAAAAAAAGCACUUUUUUGAGUAAAUUAAGGUGAAUAUGUAAAUUUGUGCUUCUUGAAUCAAGGGGGCUUUUUCGCUUCUAUACAAAAAAGUGUGCCUAGGACUUGGCUUGUGCUUAAUCAAUUGAAAGGAUGGCAUAAAGAAAUGCAAAACAUGUGAUAACCCAACAUGUCAAUCUUCUGUGUGCCAAACUCUAUUUCCUCUAUUUCUCUUCUUUCUUAUCUUUCGAUUGUAAAGUGAUGCAUUGGUGUGUUAUACAGCUCUCUUAUAGGGUUGAAUUAUUUACUUGCUCCAUCUUUGUAACCUUAGGCUGCUAAAAAGAUUCUCCAAAUAACAUGCUGCACCUAGUUGGACCUUAGAAAACAAACUAGCUCUUCUAUUAAGCUCCAUGUAAUUAGUUAUUUGAUUUGUUGAAGCUAUUUGUUAAUUUAGAUGAUUUGAUUAUGCACUUCCUCAAUUUACAUAUACCCUUGAUCAUCUCUUUCAAAAUGCCCUUUUUAAUGCAUUCAGAUCUUGCAUAUGCAGUUUGAUUUGUUUAGCCUCUGUUACUGAGAUUGUCCAUUUAAAAUUAUUUGAUGAUAAACUUCCCUUUACCUGUGUUGGCCAUAUUUUCAGCACUAUUAAAUUUAGUCUUUUGGUCUAUCUCUGGAUCUUUAGGCACUAGUUGAAGCCAAACUAUGUGCGUGCUUAGGCAAACAUGGGUAUCAGUUAGGCCAACCAGGUUUGUUAUAUCUUGCACUGUUCUCUCAUUGUCUUGACAUUCAUGAAAAGGGAGCUCCAAUUACUCUACCCUUAACUAUUUUAUUUUACCGAUGAAAAUAAAAUAAAAAUAUUAUAAUAUUGUUAUGUUAUAAAAUAAAAAACCAAAGUUUCUCUCCGUUAAAUCAAGAUCCAUUGUCAUUAGCUUCUUUCUCUCUCUCGAAAAAGGAAAAGAAAAGGUUUGAAUUCAUGAAUCAGCUGUAGCUUCUUCCGAAUGAGUGAGUCGAGGUAGUGAUAGUCUUUCUUUUAAGGUAUAAAUUUUGAUUCUUUAGAAAAAUCUUGUUUUUUCUUCAUCUCUUUUUAUUCUGUUUGGUUUCUGAUCGAUGAAAAUUGAGGGAAAUUUGUAUCAAACUUGACAUUAGUCCCUUGUUCUUUUUAAAUAAUUCCUUAUUCACCUGUGAGUUGGCAAAUUAUGUUCAGCCUGCAUUUUCCCGGAAGCCAAACAGGAGACUUAAAUGUUUUUAAUUUCUCCAAUUUCCCUUUAAUUUUUUCUAACGUCUUUUUUCCUUUACUGGCUGUUAAUUUUCUUUCUUAUUCUGUUCGGGCUUUAUCUCUGUCAUAUUCCGACUCGGAAUAAGCUAUUCUCUGGAUAUCCUGCCUUUUCUUAUUCCGGUUCUGAAUUUUUGGCUUCCGGUUUAUUGGUUUUAGUGCUCGGUUCAGCUAUUUUUUAUUGUCUGGACCGGCCAACCUGUCAUACUUAUUACUGCGAGGGAUAUCCCAUUCCAGGGAUAUCCCGGUUCGUUGUUAUCCCGUAUGAGUAUAUCCCGGCUGGGGUAUAUCCCAUUCUACGAAUAUCCCGAUUCCCCACUUUUUUUUCCAAGUCUCUUUACCUUCUUUGUCUUUAAUUUCUCAAAAAAAAAAAAGUAAUUUAAAGAGGGUAUUAAUUACCAUAAAUGUUACCGUUGUCACAUGGGGAUUUAGAAAAUUAAGUUCUCUUUCUUCCAUUCAUAGCUUCCUCGUUUCUUCACCUAUUCGAAAUUUGAAUCCUCAAAUCUAUCUCUUCCAUCCAUAGCACCCCAUUUAUUCGCCGACUCCCUCUCUCUGUGUGUCUGUUUUGAAUUUCUUCCUCUCAUUUUUUUUCUAGUUUUGGGUCAUCGAAUGCCAAAAAAAAAAAAACACACAGAAAGACGCUACUCUAGGUUUUCUCUGCCGUUUCUGGUUUUUAUGAUUUUUUGAAAUUCUCUUAUUCAUCGGUGGCUGAUUUCAGGUAUGAAUCAUGACUUCUACUUUGUCUUUGUCUUUGCCAUUUCAUUUUUGUUUUAGUUUCAGAUCUAUUCUUUAUUACUUGUAUUUCAUUUGAUUUUUUUUAUGAUUUUUUUGUUUUCUUCUUUAUAAAUUCUUUGUCUUUGCCUGAUCAUCUUUUUUUUUUCAGAUAUAUUUAUUUAUCACUCGAAGCAAAGCAAAAGGGAAAGUAGGAGGGCUUUGAGGAUAGUGAAAAACGGUUGGUCCUGCUUCAUCGGAGAUUCAUUUCAGGUAUGAAUAUGUACUUAAAAUUUGUCUUUUUAUUUCAUCUCUGUUUUUAGUUUCUUAUAUGUACUUCUUUUUACUAAUAUACACAAAUUUAUAUUUAUCACUGCCCUGCUUCAGACCUAAAUUUGGAGAUGCUAGAACAUAACUUAAGGUCUUUGGUAUAUUUUACAAAUAUUUUUAUAGAAUUGUGAUUAAUUCCAUAUGGACCUGGAUGAGAAGGUCAUCAACAGUUUGUUAUCGUACUAAGUCUUGGACUCUUCAGGAACUACUUAAUUUGGAACUAUCAAGUGAAUCUUAUCUUCUUUCAUUUUAUCAUAUUUUUGUAACUUUCUUUUUCAUUUUAGUCUGUUGCUUACAAUUAUGUAGCAAUUGGAAAGUUUCCUUGAGUUUGAAUAAUCUUUGAUAGACUUUUGUGUCAAUUUUGAGUUAGGGUUUUUAAUUUUUUCUAGUCAAUUUGGUUCGAUUGGAUUUGGUUGAUCUCCAAAUAUGGAUCGAUAUUUUCUCAUGUUAAUUUGCUAAGAAAUAGCCUUUAGUUUUGGGUUAGGCUCGAGGUUAGGCCCUUUCAUUUCUCUGUAGCUUCUAGUCUGGCUGGCUUGGGCUUUUGGCAUGUUGAGCAGUUAAAUAGGUGACAAUCAAAGAUAAUGUGUUGUCCUUUCCGUUAACACUAGCUGAUAUCUGAUAUUUGAUCAACAUUAAGUGAAACGUGAUAACAAAAUAUCAAAAGUUUUAAUUAGAGAAGCAUGAAAAUCUUCAGCUAUGAUUAUAGUUUUUGUUUGCAAAACUAUAAUCUGAGGUUGAAAGUUCUAGCUUUUUAACCUUUUAGUUUGAUUUCUAUUUGCUAAUGUUAAUUUAUGUUAUUGUUUUCUGUAUGAAUCAUGCAUUCACCUCAUCAGUUGCAUACGAGAAUGACCUAGUUUUAUUAUUUAUCUUUUUGGGGGCAGGUUCACACGAAUAUAUUCUUGCUGUUUCUUUAGGUUAAUAUGUUAAUUCUUUUCUGCUAGUUUUAAGUUUAUUUGACAUUCAUUUGCGCUAACAUUAUGUUUGUUUGCCUUUUUUUUUUUUUUGUUUGUAGGUCUUAGCUUUUAGGGACAUAUCUCCCCAGGCUCCUACGCACAUUUUAAUUAUUCCAAAAUCAAAGGAUGGCCUAACUGGUUUGUCUAAGGUACAAUUUUUUUGUCCUCAUGACUAACUGAGCAGUAAACAUUUAUGCCCUCUAUCAUAGAGGAAACUACAAUUAUGGCUGGGUAUUAAUUUGGAAAAAAAGUAUGGAGUAUUGUUAAAAGAAUGCUACUCAAGUUUUGUCAAUUGAUUUGCCUUUUGCGUUUUGCUCACUCUUGAUGCUGUAUGAGGAAAAGAAAGAGAUGGCAAAUAGGAGUGAAAUUAAAUGGAAAUUGUAUCGAGAAAUUCUGGUGGUAAAGACUAAGAGAGUCUUAGCGGUUAUAAGAAGGUGGGGAACUGAAAGAACAUCAAUGCUGAGGAAAACCUUAAAACUUGAUAUGCAAGUAUCGAUAGGUAUAGGCCAUAAAUCCAUGAGAUAAAUUGAGCUUCUAAAUAUAUCCGUACAAUGAAAAACCCUAAUAAAAGCUUAAAGCAAUAUCCAUUAUUCAUCCUUGUUGGAAGAAAUUGUCUUUAGAGUUAAAUUGCAUAUACCCCUCCUUCGUUGUGUCAAAAUAGAUUACCUUCCCAAUGAACAGAAAGUAUGUCACCGAGUCUAGAAUUAAAAAGCUCAUCACCAAGUUAUUUCAAUCCAUCAACUUAUUGCAAUCACUAAAAAACUUGUAAGGUGUGUAAUGAAACAAACAUAAGGCUCAAAGAUGUCCGAUGAAAUAAUUUAGUGUUAGAAUUUGCAAUUUGUGUAUCCAAGGUUUGUUCAUUUGUUUUCUAUGUCAUAAUCACCUGCAUCUAUGACCUCCAUGCUCUGCACGUUUGCAACAGGAAUUUAGCAAUAUUUUUGUAUGUCUCUUGAAAUUAUCUUCAAUCUUAUUUUCACGUUUGAGUCACCCGUUCAUUUCUUUCAGUGGUAUGUUUUCAGUGCUUUAUUCGAUAUGUAGGUUUCUCUACCAAUGCAUCAUGUGCAAAUUUGAAAGGACAUGCUAAUGUGUUUUUACCAGGGAACUAUAUCUAACUCCUUGUGCUAUUGCAGAUGGAUAUACCUUCCAAAUUGGCUUUAUCUUUCCUUUUCUUUCUGCUACUAUCUUGUGCUUUGAGUAGUCUUUACAUGCAUGUCACCUUUUGGCCUGCUUUUCUUGCAUAACACAAUUAAUGAGCUAAACAUACAGGAACAAGCUCAGUUAACAUCUGUAGAUCAAAUGAGAGGGGGAAAUAUAGAAAGUUUGGCUGCAAUUCAGCAGACUAGGAUGCUUGCACAUACACUCUCUCAAAACAGUGAUCCUAAGUUUUGGGUUAUUUAAAACUGGUUGGCUAAAUACUUGCAAUGUGUCAAGAUAGCUCUUAAUGAUAUCAUCGUUACUAUGCAUGAGUUAAUAUAUGCACUUAUGUGCUGUAUGUUUUGGGGCAUGCAGAAUUCAAAAUUUCUUCAAUUUGUAUCCAAGAUGAGUCGUGGUGAACUUGUCAUUGAUUAUAAUCAGGUCAAACCAGCAUCAGAGAACUGGGCAACAGAAUAUCAGCAACAGUACAAUGGAGGUGCUUCUUGGGCUGAUGAAUUUGCUCAUGAUGAGGCAAGUAGAGAUCUUGUGGAAGGUAAAGAAGCGUAUAGAUUAAUAUGUCCUGAUAAUCAGUCAUAAAUUCCUUUUAGCAGUUUCCUCCUCCUUUUCUUCUGCCUUGCCUACGUAGACUAAAAUGGAACUAACAUCACUGACCUUAGGUAGUAAUCUCAUUCACCAACCCUAGGUGGUUGAAACUAGUUUUGAUGAUUGGAGAAUGUCACCAACCCUGCUGCUAAAUUGAGCAGUGAGAGCUUAUUGAUUAUAAUAAGUUAGAAGAUAAACUGUCACUGAUGAUUCUUGUAAUUGUAUAUCUCUGUUUGGUAUUAAACCAGCUAAAAACAUUGUAAUUUGUAUAAAAGUUCUUAUUAUACAGAAUCUGCUACUCUGGUUGGUGGUUCUUUGAUUUUCUUCAACCUGAUCAAUGGGCUGAGGAGUUUGCUACUGUAUGAGAACAACUAGGGUGUUUUGAUUUGUUUAUUCAGGAUACAAAGUGCAACUAAUGAUUCUGCGUGUUAUGUAUUAUUUUGAGACUCUUAAACCGUGCGAAGCUCUUAUUCUUAUUUGAAAUAUUCUAAUUUUCUUCGUUUCAUUAAAUGUUCUUGACUUGAUGGUUAAUAGGUUUUCCGUGGACCUGACCAUUGGGCCAAUGAAUUUGGUGCUGAAAGAUUGCAACAAGAGUCUGUCGAUGAUCAAUGGGUCAAUGAAUUCUCAAAGUUGCAUGUUGAUGACUGGGCAGAAGAAUUUGAUAGUCAAGUUGGUGAGGGGGCUUUGGGAGAUAGUUCAUCUGAUAACUGGGCAAAUUCAUAUGAUGAGUAAGUGUGGUAGCCUUGAAGAAGUUCACUUUAUAACCUCUCUUAAUUCUACAUGAUUGUUUUGGUUGUGAGAACUUGUAGGUUCCUCAGCGAUCGGACGCUUCAAGGGUUUUCUAUGUAUUUUCUGAUAUGAAUCCAUAUGUUGGUCAUCAAAAUCCUUUAAAAGAAGGUCAAGAGCUAUUCAGGAAAGGACUUUUGAGUGAAGCAGUGCUUGCCCUAGAGGCUGAAGUUAUGAAAAAUCCUGAGAAUGCUGAAGGUUGGAGAUUGCUAGGAAUAACCCAUGCUGAAAAUGAUGAUGAUCAGCAGGUAAUCCACUUUGCUCUAGUUUGUCAGAGUUGGAUAGUUCAUGUGUAUUCUUACACCAAAAGACAUUGUUUUUGUGUUCUUUAAUACUACAAGAAUUUCUAUUAAGAGAUGUGACUGCUUGUCUAAUUCAGCCAUCUGUUCAGCAUCUUUGGUUACGAUUCUUUGCCUGGCAAGGUUGACCAUUUACCUUUCUAUUCAACCUAAAUCUAAAUCAUUUUUAAUCUUGUCUAAUGCCCUGUGAAUACCAUCAUAUUUUAGAUAACAGAACAACCUAUUGAUUAAGCAAGCAAGAAAACCUUUUGAACACAAAGGAUCUAUUUUCUUGUAUGGCUACAUUUUGUGUUUUAUUUGCUGGCUUGAUAUAGCCAUGUUGGUGUACCAUGCAAUGUUCAUUUCUUGUAUAUGAAAACUUCUACUGGAAAGGGAUAGAAGGAGCUAUUUUUCGUUUAAACAUUGAAGUUUGUAAUAUGAUUGGUAUUACGUUUAUCUUAGUGGCUUGAGGCUUCAGUCAGAGUUCCAGAUCUAAGGCCGCAGUCUUUGCCUGACUGCUAAUGUUCUGGAUCUAACCUAUUAUCAUUUGUUGUCUCAUGAACUAGUAGUGCAUUACAUUUCACUUAUCAUCCGCUUCUAUUUAUUCUUGAACCAUGGCAAAACCUUUUUGGCUUAAUUAAAAUUAAUUUGAAUGGAUAAUGUUCCAUCUUAACCUAUGUCAAUAUCAAGCCUAUGAAGUGUAAUGUUUCACAUUUAUUGCAAAUUGUUUUGGAUGAUUAAUGUGUCUGCUUGUCAUUAUCUUGUGACUUACAUGGAUUAUGCUGGACCUUUUUAUACUUAUGUUAUUCUUGAUUAAUGCAUCUGCAGUUUUAUGUGGUUUUUACUGGGGUCCAUAUAUUUGACUUUGUAGAAAAAAUGUAAUUCACUGAUUAGAUAUCUCUGUACUGGCUAUUGCAGCAAUGAUGCAUGCUCAGGAGGCCGAUCCUACCAAUCUGGAAGUACUUCUUGCUCUUGGUGUGAAUCAUACAAAUGGUUAGUGAAUGCUUAUCCCUUUAAUCAAGAUGAGAUUAAAAUUUUGGAGUGUCAAACAUAUAAUACUGUUUGAAAAGUUCAGAAUUGGAACAGACUGCUGCUUUAAAGUAUCUGUAUGGAUGGUUACGUCAUCACCCAAAGUGUUACUUGAUCCAUCUUUGUAACCUUAGGCUGCUAAAAAGAUUCUCCAAAUAACAUGUUGCACCUAGUUGGACCUUAGAAGACAAACUAGCUCUUCUAUUAAGCUCCAUGUAAUUAGUUAUUUGAUUUGUUGAAGCUAUUUGUUAAUUUACAUAUACCCUUGAUCAUCUCUUUCAAAAUGCCUUUUUUAAUGCAUUCAGAUCUUGCAUAUGCAGUUUGAUUUGUUUAGCCUCUGUUACUGAGAUUCUCCAUUUAAAAUUAUUUGAUGAUAAACUUCCCUUUGCCUGUGGUGGCCAUAUUUUCAGCACUAUUGAAUUUAGUCAUUUGGUCUAUGUCUGGAUCUUUAGGCACUAGCUUUGAAGCCAAACUAUAUGCGUGCUUGGGCAAACAUGGGUAUCAGUUACGCCAACCAGGUUUGUUAUAUCCUUCAAUGUUCUCUCAUUGUCUUGACAUUCAUGAAAAGGGAACUGCAUUGCUUUCUUUAUGUCUUCAUUUCCUUUUGCAUAUUUCUGAGAUGGUCAAUCCUUCUAAAUCAAAAUUUAUGGGUAUGUGAUCAGAAAUUAAAUCACCUUGUUUUCAAUAUAUAGGUCUCAACAUAUUUUGGAAAAAUAAUUCGUUCGAAAUAACACUAAUCUCGAUGGAAAGAUGAAAGCUUAUUUGAUUGGUCAGUAAUAGAUUUUUAUGGUCUAAAAUGAAACCCAUAUUGGUAUACCCCGGCCUGGGUAUAUCCCAUUCUCGGAAUAUAUAAUUCGUUCGAAAUAACACUAAUCUCGAUGGAAAGAUGAAAGCUUAUUUGAUUGGUCAGUAAUAGAUUUUUAUGGUCUAAAAUGAAACCCAUAUUGGUAUACCCCGGCCUGGGUAUAUCCCAUUCUCGGAAUAUCCCGAUUCCCCACUUUUUUUCCUAAGUCUCUUUACCUUCUUUGUCUUUAAUUCCUCAAAAAAAAAAGUAAUUUAAAGAAGGUAUUAAUUACCAUAAAUGUUACCGUUCUCACUUAAGAUAAUGCUUUAAACUUUUUCACCUGUCUUUCUUUCUAAUGUGACAGUCAAGAUAGCCUACUGUUCUCGUGGAUAAAAAACUACUUCCUGGGAUAUGUAGUACUCUUCCUGUCCAUAAAUAACUGUUUUUAGUUAGUAUCUUUCUUUCCCUGUUUAUACAUUCAUGGAUUCCUUUCUAUCUCUUUUGCAGGUGCAAAAUCUAUAAUAAAUAGAAGUUGAAACCGCUUAUGGUAUUGGAAUUUUUGAAAACAUCGUCUCAUUCAUCUCUAUUUUUUUAAUUUAACAGAUAUUUUCUUUCGGUAUCUGUUCUCCUGUCUUUCCAUCCUUCCAUGGCUCUUUUAUUGUUAAUCCUGCCGUCGCCCUUUUCAUUCUUGUUUUAGUUUCAGAUAUAUGCUUCUUUUUACUUCUAUUUUCAGUGUGUUUUUGUCAUGGUUUUUUGUUUUCACCUUUAGAGGAUAAAGUCAUUAAGAAAAAAACCUAAGGUUUUAAGUUUUUCUCAAACCCUACCACAGUAUUGUGUCCAAUUCAAAACGAUGAAGAUAGCAGUGGAAGGGUGCAUGCAUGGAGAUCUCGACAAGGUCUACGACACCAUUAAAUACAUCGAAAACACUCGCAACAUCAAAAUUUACCUCCUCCUUUGUUAUGGUGAUUUCCAGGUUCUUUCUCUCACACUCUCACUUUCUCCAAUUUGUUGUUUUUAUACGAAAUUUUGUCACUUUCCAAAUACCCAUUUUUUAUAUGAACUUAAUUUUUUUUUCUUUUGCAACUUAGGCAGUCAGGAAUGGAAAAGAUAUGGAUAGCCUUAAUGUGGCCCCAAAAUAUAGGGAGAUGAAGUCAUUCUGGAAAUACUGUUCGGGUCAGGAGGUUGCCCCAGUUCCCACGAUUUUUAUCGGUGGAAAUAAUGAAGCUUCCAAUUAUUUAUGUAAGUCACCCCCUUUUCUUCAUAUGUUCUAGCUUGGGGAUUCUGAUUCUUUUAUGAAAAGGCCUUGAAUUUUACCUUCUGCUAUUGAAAUGUGUAAACUUUAGGUAUUAUGGGGGAUGGGCAGCACCUAAUAUAUACUUCUUGGGGUAUGCUGUGGUUGUGAAGUUUGGCAAUAUCCGUAUCGGUGGACUUUCCGGAAUUUACAAUGCGCGUAAUUAUUGUUUAGGUUGGGUAUGAAGUUCUUUUACUUGUCUAUUCUAUGUUUAUUCUGGAGUACUUUUAAUGGUGAUUGUAUAUUUACUGCAAGCGAGUGUCAGAUAUGUUAUAUUGAUUCUUAUUUAGGGUGGAGAGUCGAAGCUUUGAAACUGAAAUGAAUUAGCUUUUCCUUGAGCAGGACACCAUGAAAGGCCACCUUAUAAUGACAAUACUAUCAGGUCUGUGUAUCAUGUUCGGGAGUACGAUGUUCACAAGCUCAUGCACCUAGAGAAACUGAUUGAUAUUUUCCUUUCACACGAUUGGCCGCUCGGCAUCACUGAUUAUGGGAACUGGC